RNAcentral lists this ribosomal RNA (433 nucleotides) under Bifidobacterium dentium. RNAcentral describes it as "bacterial SSU rRNA". It matches the Rfam family "Bacterial small subunit ribosomal RNA", at positions 28 to 460 of the family's 1533-position model. The record is from RNAcentral. Lineage: Bacteria; Bacillati; Actinomycetota; Actinomycetes; Bifidobacteriales; Bifidobacteriaceae.
GAUGAACGCGGCGGCGUGCUUAACACAUGCAAGUCGAACGGGAUCCCGGGGGUUCGCUUCCGGGUGAGAGUGGCGAACGGGUGAGUAAUGCGUGACCGACCUGCCCCAUACACCGGAAUAGCUCCUGGAAACGGGUGGUAAUGCCGGAUGCUCCGGUUGGAUGCAUGUCCUUCCGGGAAAGAUUCUAUCGGUAUGGGAUGGGGUCGCGUCCUAUCAGCUUGAUGGCGGGGUAACGGCCCACCAUGGCUUCGACGGGUAGCCGGCCUGAGAGGGCGACCGGCCACAUUGGGACUGAGAUACGGCCCAGACUCCUACGGGAGGCAGCAGUGGGGAAUAUUGCACAAUGGGUGCAAGCCUGAUGCAGCGACGCCGCGUGCGGGAUGGAGGCCUUCGGGUUGUAAACCGCUUUUGAUCGGGAGCAAGCCCUUCGGGG